Molecule: long non-coding RNA, 748 nt
Organism: Aedes albopictus (Asian tiger mosquito)
Lineage: Eukaryota; Metazoa; Arthropoda; Insecta; Diptera; Culicidae
Exons: 2
Source: RefSeq, a predicted model, not a curated record
AACAACCUAUUUGGCCAAUGUAGAAGUGUUUCCUCGUUUGCUGCCUGCUUAUACUCUGUGAUCACUGUCUUGCGAAGGUGGUUUUAUCCUAUAUAAUGGUAUUUAUUGCUGAUGCUUCUACUUGCUAUUGCGUAGAGUACCAAUCAUAAUGCAUGCUGUACCUAUCCCUUUGCUUCGGAAUUGCGUAAGUAGAGGUUAUCCGUUGAUUGAGAUUUUAGCGAAGACUACAUAUCAAGAAGGUUGGUCGAGAAACAUUGCGCUCAUCACUGAUGCAAUGCUGUUGAAAGUCAUGACUUUACCUUGACUGACUUUUGAAUAUCACUCAGCUCCCAGCGUGAAAUGUCAUCUGCAUACAUCUGUUUCGGUGACUAUUUUAGAUGGUAGCAAGCCAUUUGAUGUCUUUACGCCUAGUUAUCUAAUGCCAAAUAUUCCGCUCCAGAUAUUUUUACAGGUAUUACUAAAAUUGAUUGAACCCAGCCUUGUGAAAUGAUAAAAUUAAACAUAAACAUUUUUCGGUUCCUGUCGGUGAAGCUGUAUACCUACCAAACUCAGUAGGUAAAUUAAAAAAUGUCAUCAAAUAGAAGACAUACCACGCUUGUGACAAUGAUUUCAAUUCAAACAGUACAAUCUAGUGAAAAUCAUAACAUGAUUUACCAUUACUGAAUAAGCACAUCAUUCGGGGAAGCCGUUCAUUCGAAGGAACGACGUUUUAUAAAACGGAGCUCUACAAAGACAGCAUUUGUGGCAU